RNAcentral lists this long non-coding RNA (3302 nucleotides) under Homo sapiens (human). RNAcentral describes it as "HSALNT0303542". Lineage: Eukaryota; Metazoa; Chordata; Mammalia; Primates; Hominidae. The record is from RNAcentral.
AGGCUGAGGUGGGAGGAUUACUUGAGCUGAGGAGUUUGAGGCUUCAGUGAGUUUUGAUUGUGCCACUGCACAAUUGAUUGAUUUGUGAAAGCUAUGUCGUGGAAUCAGCUCUUGGAUGUAUUUAUCAAUUCUGUAUUCUAAUUAUUCUUUUAUGCUUUUGUUUUUAUAAUAUCCUUUUUCCCUCCUUUCUUUGUUUGUGGUUGGUUUUCUUACUUUUUGCCUUGAAUGCUUAGUUUAUUUAUUUUCCUUCUAAUGAAAGUGUUUAGUGCUGUGAAUUUGCCUCUGAAUAUAUCUAAAACAUGGCUAUAUCUGAUAUGUUUUCAUAUAUAGUGAUCUUAUGUUGUUAUUUUCUAAAUAAGCUUGGAAUUAUAAUUUCAAAUCCUCUUUAGUCAAUUAGAAGAACACAUUUUAAAUUCUAAGUGGUUGGGUUUUAAAAAAUGUGUUCUUUUGUUAUGUUCUAGCUUAUCUUAUUUUCAGAGAAAGUGACCUCUACAAUUUUGCCAAAUUUUGCCAUUUGGGAUUUAUUGUGGUUUUCUUUGUAGCAUGGUAUCUGAAUAUGUCAGUUAGGAUCAGGGUCAUCUGCAUGUAACAAAGUCCAAAAUAACAGUGGCUUAAACAAAAUAGUUUAUUUCUCUCUUAUGUCAAAGAAGUUUGGAGAUAAGGAGGACCCCCACAAUAUCAUCAGGAACCCAGACUUCCAUUUUUCUACACCACCAUUUUCAGUACUGGCUUCUAUUGUAAAAAGUCACCCCAUAGCCCGAGAUGGCUGCUGGAGUUCCAGCCAUCACAUUCACAUUCCAGAGAGGAGAAAGAAAAGAAGAAUAGUAGGCUAUAUCUCCCAACCGAAAUACAUUUAUCUUUAAGAUACAGCCUCUCUUUAAGGAGCCUUUUGGGAAUUUCCAUGCAACAUUCCAUGUUCUGCAUAUAUUUCAUUCAGAAUUUAGCUGGGUAUAUACAUUUCAUUUAGAAUUUAGCUGGGUAUAUAGUUGAUCCCCAAUUAUAUAAGGAUUCUAUUAGUAAGAAAGAAGGGAAGAAUGGUGAUAGGCAAACAAGAAUGCCAUAAUAACUUUUAUAAAUAUUCCAUCAACACUUUAAAAGAUAUACAAUUUGGUGGUAUCAUCACUUUGUUAAACUGGGUAACUGGGUAUUUGAAAUGGCAAAAGUUGAAUGUGGGGCUCAUUUUUCCCUGAGAAGCCAAAUGGACCCUUACACAAUUAUCAGCUGCCAUCAAGUGGGAAGAACUGGCCAACCCAGCAGAUGCCAGCACUGUCUUCCAUUCACAAGGAGUUACUGAGGCUCACCCCAUACGUUUCCACUCUCUCCUUACCCUACCCUAGACAAGCCCAUCAUUGCAGGGUCACUAUGGCCCUGUAGGCAGGUGGGAGACUUGGAUGCUGAUCCACUCCCCUGCCAUUCAGGGGUUCAUUGCUGAAGCAGAUGCUGUGAAUGUCCUAACAGGACCGAUCCUUUCCCAGCCUGGAGCAAGCAUCCUUCUGUGAAUAAACGCAUGUGGUGUAAGAAGAGGAUGCCCUGGCCCCCAAGAUCCUGUGUGAAUACUUGAUGGAGGCGAAAUGGGGAGCAUGGCCUGGGAUACCUCCCAGCAGCUCUACGAGGCAGCCAGAACUGAAAUGACAAUGCUCACCUAUCCCCACUUCCUAGCCCCAGAUAUCUGUAUCCUGAGGUUCAGAACAGUCAAGCCAGAGGCUGAGUCUCCAGAGGAACCACUGGAUUUGAAGAACCUGGGCCUCCCACCUUGGCACUUUCACAUGGACAAGCAACAUGGUCCGUCACCACUCCUCCCCACCCCUGGGCCACUGCCUCGUCUUGUGUGGAAAGAGCAUGCUGGCUGCUCCAGUGCUUCCUGCAGCCCCAUCAGCUUCUCCAAGGCCCUGCUGUCGCCUGGUAGCACUGAACAUUUAAGCAAAUGCCUGGUCUGAAGGGGAGUGAAGGUUCCAGUCCACACCUUAGGAAAGCCCCUGGUCUGAUGGAGUGGAGCUCUGUUCUCUGAGGGAUAAGACUUGUGUUCCCGAGAUGGAGAUGAGACGAUGUUCAGUGGUGUAAUGCUGACUAUGGAGCUCAGAGAAAGAAACCAGCAAAGGCCAGGAAAGAACUACAUGGGAGGAGAAGAAUGGCACUGGCAACCGGCAUCCAGGGAGCGCUUGCUGCAGGCUGCAUGCUGAGGCGAAUUUCCUCCACACCUUACUUCCUCUCAUAACCAUCCUGAGAGGUACUGGGAUUGUCCUUCACUUAACAGGUGAAGAAACAGAGGCACAAAGAGCUCCAGUGACUUGCCUGUGGUCACAUAGCUGGUAAAUGCUGGCACCAGCAUUUGACAACCAGAGCCUGAGCGUUAAUCACUAGGUCCAUGGUAGGACACCCAAAAUGAAGGGGAGCAGCAAAGGUACAGACGGAUGUGCAGAGAGCACAGCUGCCAGGGGGCUGGAGCGGCAGAGGGGACUUCAGCCAUGUUAUGAACUAUAAAUGGGAGCAGAGAUAGGAUGUGUGAUUUGGCCAAGGUCCUGCAGCGCGAUAGGGUGGAGGCUGGGCUAGAAAUCAUAGCUGUUGGCUCCUGUUUCCCUCUCCUUCCACUUUCCUUGGUACCAGCCACAUUCUGGGCGCUCUCCACCCGUCUGCGUGGCCACGCCUGAAUCGUUUCCCUCUUGGAAGAGGUGCAAUCCACUGGCAUUGAAGCUGGGUGGACUGGCUCCCUCUCUCUAUCCAUCUCUUUCUUCCUUUCCCCUGCCAUGUUCUGGAAAGGGCAGCGGGAGGGAAUGUGGGCAGGUUGCACCAGAGAUAUACAUCUGAGAGCUGAAGGGAACAUUUAUUUUUAAUUUAGACUUAAAAAGAAAAAAGGAAGUUAUAAAAUAUCUGCUCUUGCUCCUGGGAUUGUGCAGAUGGUGCUGCGUUUUGCCUAAUAGGGAAUUGGGCUGGCAUCCUCGUGCUUUUGGUCCCCGCCUGACUGUAAGGACCUGGAGGGCAGGAUCCCUGCUUCCCUGCCUCAGCCUCACAUGGCCCCCUAAGGCUCCAUUUGGCCGAUGCAGCUCGGUGUUCCUGUCUUCUAACCUCACCCUCUCCACACUCCCUCUGGUCUCCCAGACCUCCUCUGCAGUCAGACCAGUCUCUCUGCUGUCUCGGCUGUCCCUGCUCCUGUGUCGGCGCCCCCUCGGCUCACUCCUACCUCCGCCUUCGUUAGAUAGCCGGGACACACUCACCCCUCCCUUCCUAAACUCCUGUUUGGAUGUUAAAAUUUAUCAACUUUACACAUAACCAAAUACCUCAUUAAACCAUCUUGUCAUUUUCAA